GGCUAAGUGAUAUAGAUUAUAUAGUGUUAUUAUCUACCUUUGCUACUCCUUCUAAGUCUUUUUUUCUAAUAUUAUUCUACUAUAAUAUUUUAUAAUCAUUCGCGCGAGUUAAACAAAUGGUACCAGAAUAAAUAACAGUUUCAACUUCGGGAGGAUUCUUUUAGGACAACUCAUAUUGAUUUUUCGGUACACGAUAUCUCAGCUCAAAACCUUCCGAUAUAUUUAAAAUUCAAAUUAAAAAAUCUAGCUAAUAGAACUGAAAAAAAAAAAAAAAAAAAAAAGUAAAAGUCUAAUUUUGCACCUCCUCCUAUAUCUUUUCUUUAUAUUAUUCUGCUAUAAUUUUUUAUUUUCUGAGAAAACUAGUAUAAUAUUUUAGUUGUUGAUAAUCAAUCAAGUUGGUUGAUUUGAUUGCACAUGUGUGGGGGGUGUUUUAUACAAAGGGAGCCCAGCAUAAGAUGCAUCCGGGUGUGAAGAGAAAUUAUUAUUUUUAAAAUAUUAUAUUUUUUAGGUUUUUCUCCUCUAUUAUCACAUUGUUAUAUUAUUAUUCUAUAUUAAUGUUUAUGAUGAUUGUGGGUUAGAUAAUGGAUACAGGGACAAAUGCCGAUUUCUAUAAUUAGUAUUGAGUUAAGCUAUAAUACUUUUGAAAGUAUUACUAUUCAGAUACUUCUAACUUUUCAUCAGUAUCAAAGCAAAAAAAUCGCUUCUAACGAGUGUUCUCAGAGCAAAUAUCGCUUCCAACAUAUAAGACCUUGUAAUAAUGAUUUUAUAUAUUGGUUAGUUUAUCCACCCAGCCCGAAGAGAUGUACCCAUUUGGCAACAGUUUAUGUAAUUAGGGGCCACUUUGUUUGGAUGUGUUGGUAAAUAUAUAUGCAGUCUAAAUAGAGAUGUAUGCAGUAGUUAUAACUAUAUAAAUUUUAUUUGGCUGGAUACAGUAGAAAGUUGUGCAACUAUAAAUAAAUUGUUUGAUUGCGUAUAGUCGAGAAUUUGCAUUUUACAAAAAUUUUUAUUACCUUUAUUUUAUUUAAAUAAUUUCGUAAUUAGGUAACUACAAAUUCAGUGUCAGGAUGGCCGAGUGGUCUAAGGCGCCAGACUCAAGUUCUGGUCCUCGUGAGAGGGCGUGGGUUCAAAUCCCACUUCUGACAUUUUUCCAUUUUAUUAUUAAUAAUAAUAAUAUUUUAUUAAUUAUUAAUAUAUUUAUUUUUUACUUACAUGUAAAUGAGGCAUUUAUUUAUAAUUAUUUAAGUUUCGUAUGCUGUAUUACUGUAUAGAACGAUUGCAUUAUGACUGGCAUUUCGGUUUCGAUUUUUAUCUUCGCUUGAAACUAAGUAACACUAUUUGGUUUGGAUUAUCUGGAUUUUAGUUUGGUUCGGUUACGAAAACAACUAGGGUUUGAAUCUGUUUCCAGUUGAAAACAAAUUUUCCUGAACAUGCAACUUAUCCAAUGUUUUUCUACGCGAGAAGGAGAAGGUCAAGAGUUUCCUAAUGAUAUUAAGAAGUAGGGAUAUGCAAGCUUCUGAACCAUAAACAAAUAACAAGCAGAAAUUUCAAUUUAGAGCUUUGGAUUUUAGUUAAAAGCUUAACCCAGAGAGCUCAACUUAAUCAAGCAGGUGCCCAAAAGCUUUGUCUAGAAGCUGCAGCUUUACAAGGCCAAAAGCUCAAGGAAUUGAUAUAUAAAGCCAUAUUUUGAUCACACCAAUGCACUAUCAAAGUUGCAUAUUAAUCAGCUAAUAACAGAACAGAGUUACAGUUAUUUUCAGUUUCUGUUACAAGAGGGCGAAAUCCCCCGACAAAAAUAAAACAUCGAGUCGCAGGUUUGGUAACCGGUGACUUGGAUUGUUUACUUGUGCUCGUAACCACGAGCAAUUCGUCUUUACCAAAAAAAAUAAUAGUGCUUUUAUUUAAUGCUCCUGCCUCUUUAACUCUCAGGGGCAGGACAUAAAACUGUCUCAGCUCAAGAAAACAUUAGUCUAGCAGUGGGGAAAACAAAAAAAAAAAGAAGACUACUGCUGAGUGUCGACUACUUCGAUGAGGGUCGUCUCGUAGUCGCUGGGGGCCUCAAAGCCAUGGAGAUUCAUGACGGUCGCAGCAACAUUAGCGAGGCCGCCCGUGGGUACGUCAUUGCGGAAUCUGACUCCAGGGUGGAGGCCUGGACCUCCUAUGGCAACUGGCACCUGCAGGAAAUUUAUAGAUAGGCAAUCAACAAAUUGUACAUAAGAAACUAUUUUUAUAGAACGUAGAUCACAAAAAAAGAAGAAAUAUUUAAGUUUACAUACCAAGACAUGUUAACGAUAAAAUGGAAUGCACAAGACCACCAAUAGAUAAUGCGAAGAACAUGACAUUGGAGGACUGUACACUUUGCAUGGCAGUUCAAAGGCCAUUUUGAAAUAUAAGAGAGAAAAGUAGUCGAAAAAUGUACUGAGACUUCCUCAACUAUAGGCCAAAUGAAAACGUGCUAACAAUAAAAUGUAAGUGCACAACACCGAGAGAUAAUGCAAAGGACAUGACAUUGUAUAGCAGUCCACAGGCCAUUUUGAAACAUAAAGAGUGAAAGAGAGUUUGAAAAUGUACUGACUACUGAGGCUUCCUCACUAUAGGCCAAAUGAAGGAUGAAUAACAGGCAGGUUUCUU
RNAcentral lists this long non-coding RNA (2628 nucleotides) under Ananas comosus (pineapple). RNAcentral describes it as "long non-coding RNA (ACOM_LNC032270)". The stretch from base 1059 to 1142 matches the Rfam family "tRNA". The record is from RNAcentral. Lineage: Eukaryota; Viridiplantae; Streptophyta; Magnoliopsida; Poales; Bromeliaceae.